This 115-nucleotide ribosomal RNA is filed under the name Lates calcarifer (barramundi perch). Lineage: Eukaryota; Metazoa; Chordata; Actinopteri; Centropomidae. The record is from RNAcentral.
GCUUACGGCCACACCACCCUGAGCGCGAUCUCGUCUGAUCUCGGAAGCUAAGCAGGGUCGGGCCUGGUUAGUACUUGGAUGGGAGACCGCCUGGGAAUACCAGGUGCCGUAAGCU